This 174-nucleotide ribosomal RNA is filed under the name uncultured bacterium. RNAcentral describes it as "partial 16S ribosomal RNA". It matches the Rfam family "Bacterial small subunit ribosomal RNA", at positions 338 to 503 of the family's 1533-position model. The record is from RNAcentral.
CCUACGGGAGGCAGCAGUGAGGAAUAUUGGACAAUGGGCGCAAGCCUGAUCCAGCGACGCCGCGUGAGUGAUGAAGGCCUUUGGGUCGUAAAGCUCUGUCAGCAGGGAAGAACGGCCGUGCGGCUAAUACCCAUACGGAUUGACGGUACCUGCAGAGGAAGCACCGGCUAACUU